Molecule: long non-coding RNA, 422 nt
Organism: Esox lucius (northern pike)
Lineage: Eukaryota; Metazoa; Chordata; Actinopteri; Esociformes; Esocidae
Source: Ensembl
ACAAAAGUCUGACUCAAACGUCGACUAUCAAAAACGUCAGAAUCCGGGGUAUAGGAAGGCUGGUCAGGUGGUGGUGGUGGUGGUGGUGGGGUAUAGGAAGGCAGGUCAGGUGGUGGUGGGGUAUAGGAAGGCAGGUCAGGGGGUGGUGGUGGGGUAUAGGAAGGCAGGUCAGGUGGUGGUGGUGGUGGGGUAUAGGAAGGCAGGUCAGGUGGUGGUGGUGGUGGUGGGGUAUAGGAAGGCAGGUCAGGUGGUGGUGGUGGGUAUCUUCAUCAAGCAACGGUGUAAAAGAUGUUUUAAGGCUGCUCAUAAUAGGCCUAUAGGAGAGAGGUAUUUUCCGACAUUGUGAUAUAAUGUGGGGGUUUAGGAAGCCAUGGUGCUUUGAAACGUUCUACUUUAGCCCCGCCUUUUUAUUGCUGCAUAGA